RNAcentral lists this non-coding RNA (136 nucleotides) under Tyto alba (common barn owl). RNAcentral describes it as "Eukaryotic large subunit ribosomal RNA". It matches the Rfam family "Eukaryotic large subunit ribosomal RNA", at positions 2254 to 2388 of the family's 3401-position model. Lineage: Eukaryota; Metazoa; Chordata; Aves; Strigiformes; Tytonidae. The record is from Rfam by way of RNAcentral.
AUAUAUAAAUUAUACGUGUUUGAUAAAUAGCCAAAUGUCUCAUCAUCUGAUUAGUGACACGCAUGAAUGGAUGAACAAGAUUCCCACUGUCCCUACCUACUACCCAGCGAAACCACAGCCAAGGGAACGGGCUUGG